RNAcentral lists this ribosomal RNA (433 nucleotides) under uncultured bacterium. RNAcentral describes it as "partial 16S ribosomal RNA". It matches the Rfam family "Bacterial small subunit ribosomal RNA", at positions 29 to 507 of the family's 1533-position model. The record is from RNAcentral.
AACGAACGCUGGCGGCAUGCCUAACACAUGCGAGUCGAACGAGACCUUCGGGUCUAGUGGCGCACGGGUGCGUAACGCGUGGGAACCUGCCCUUAGGUUCGGAAUAACUCCCCGAAAGGGGUGCUAAUACCGGAUAAUGUCUUCGGACCAAAGAUUUAUCGCCUUUGGAUGGGCCCGCGUUGGAUUAGCUAGUUGGUAGGGUAAAAGCCUACCAAGGCGACGAUCCAUAGCUGGUCUGAGAGGAUGCUCAGCCACACUGGGACUGAGACACGGCCCAGACUCCUACGGGAGGCAGCAGUGGGGAAUAUUGGACAAUGGGCGAAAGCCUGAUCCAGCAAUGCCGCGUGAGUGAUGAAGGCCUUAGGGUUGUAAAGCUCUUUUACCCGGGAUGAUAAUGACAGUACCGGGAGAAUAAGCUCCGGCUAACUCCGUG